GAAGGAAGGAAGGAAGGAAGGAAGGAAGGAAGGAAGGAGAAAAAGAGAAAAAGAAAAAAAGAAAAAGAAAAGGAAUUGUUAAGAUGAAUGUUGAGGAAGAGGAAUAAGAAAAAGAAGAGGAAGAAAAUAAAGAAAAGUAGAUUAUGCAAUGCCUUGACAAUGACAUGAAAGUUGGGUUUCCAAUUUCUUAAUAAGGAUAUAUUUCUCAGAAGACCUCUAUAGUCAUGUAUAAUGCUGUAACCAAAUAGCAGGAAGAUGAAAAAGACUCCUAACACAGCAUUUGACCUAAAUACAUGUCCCUGUUAGAAGGGGAAUAUAGAAAAUUCUGGAUUAUGGUGAAAACUAUGUUCAGGUGUAUUUCAUCAUCUCAUACUGGUGGGUUAUUUUAUU
Passer domesticus (house sparrow) is the source of this 390-nucleotide long non-coding RNA. RefSeq lists it as uncharacterized. The record is from RefSeq and is a predicted model, not a curated record. The transcript is spliced from 4 exons. Lineage: Eukaryota; Metazoa; Chordata; Aves; Passeriformes; Passeridae.